RNAcentral lists this ribosomal RNA (400 nucleotides) under uncultured bacterium. RNAcentral describes it as "bacterial SSU rRNA". It matches the Rfam family "Bacterial small subunit ribosomal RNA", at positions 359 to 776 of the family's 1533-position model. The record is from RNAcentral.
GAAUAUUGGACAAUGGGCGAAAGCCUGAUCCAGCAAUGCCGCGUGAGUGAUGAAGGCCUUAGGGUCGUAAAGCUCUUUUACCAGGGAUGAUAAUGACAGUACCUGGAGAAUAAGCUCCGGCUAACUCCGUGCCAGCAGCCGCGGUAAUACGGAGGGAGCUAGCGUUGUUCGGAAUUACUGGGCGUAAAGCGCGCGUAGGCGGCAGAUCAAGUCAGGGGUGAAAUCCCGGGGCUCAACCCCGGAACUGCCCUUGAAACUAGUUUGCUAGAAUCUUGGAGAGGCGAGUGGAAUUCCGAGUGUAGAGGUGAAAUUCGUAGAUAUUCGGAAGAACACCAGUGGCGAAGGCGACUCGCUGGACAAGUAUUGACGCUGAGGUGCGAAAGCGUGGGGAGCAAACAGG